CGUGUAGGCGGAGAUGCAAGUUGGGAGUGAAAUCCCGGGGCUCAACGUGGGCAUUGCAUCUGAAACUGUUUAGCUAGAGUUCUGUAGAGGGGGGUAGAAUUCCAGGUGUAGCGGUGAAAUGCGUAGAGAUCUGGAGGAAUACCGAUUGCGAAGGCAGCCCCCUGGACAGAGACUGACGCUCAAAUGCGAAAGCGUGGGGAUCAAACAGGAUUAGAUACCCCCGUA
Molecule: ribosomal RNA, 225 nt
Filed under: uncultured Thorsellia sp.
Lineage: Bacteria; Pseudomonadati; Pseudomonadota; Gammaproteobacteria; Enterobacterales; Thorselliaceae
Description: partial 16S ribosomal RNA
Rfam family: Bacterial small subunit ribosomal RNA
Source: RNAcentral